UGUGCCCUACGGGAGGCAGCAGUGGGGGAUAUUGCACAAUGGGGGAAACCCUGAUGCAGCGACGCCGCGUGGGCGAAGAAGUAUUUCGGUAUGUAAAGCCCUAUCAGCAGGGAAGAAGAAAUGACGGUACCUGAGUAAGAAGCACCGGCUAACUACGUGCCAGCAGCCGCGGUAAUCCGUAUGGUGCAAGCGUUAUCCGGAUUUACUGGGUGUAAAGGGCGCGCAGUCGGCCCGGCAAGCCUGAUGUGCAAGCCCGCGGCCCAACCGCGGGCCUGCAUUGGGACCUACCGGGCUGGAGUGCCGGG
This 305-nucleotide ribosomal RNA is filed under the name uncultured bacterium. Its description in RNAcentral is "bacterial SSU rRNA". It matches the Rfam family "Bacterial small subunit ribosomal RNA", at positions 333 to 653 of the family's 1533-position model. The record is from RNAcentral.